AACGAACGCUGGCGGCAUGGCUAAGCCAUGCAAGUCGUACGGACCACCUUUUGCUUGCAUUGGGUGGUUAGUGGCGAAAGGGAGAGUAAUGCAUGGGUAACGUACCCUGGAUUCUGGGAUAACACGGCUUCGGCCUUUAGUGAAAAUGUGGCUAAUACCGGAUGAAAUCGCUGUAUCGCAUGGUACUGGCGAUCAAGGGCAGGGAUCCUUCGGGACCUGCUGAUCUGGGAGCGACCCAUGUCCUAUCAGCUUGUUGGUGGGGUAACGGCCUACCAAGGCAGCGACGGGUAGCGGGCGUGAGAGCGUGGACCGCCUCAUCGGAACUGAGACACUGUCCGGGCACCUACGGGUGGCUGCAGUAACGAAUAUUGGGCAAUGGGCGAAAGCCUGACCCAGCAAUGCCGCGUGCAGGAGGAAGCCUUUCGGGGUGUAAACUGCUGUCAGGUCCUAGCAAGCAAAGGGUGUUAAUAGCGCCCCGCGUUGAGCAAGACCAAAGGAAGCAUCGGCUAACUCUGUGCCAGCAGCCGCGGUAAGACAGAGGAUGCAAGCGUUGUUCGGAAUCAUUGGGCUUAAAGAGGGUGUAGGCGGCUGCGCAAGCGUUGUGUGAAAUCCCACGGCUCAACCGUGGAAUUGCAUGGCGAAC
This 643-nucleotide ribosomal RNA is filed under the name uncultured bacterium. Its description in RNAcentral is "bacterial SSU rRNA". It matches the Rfam family "Bacterial small subunit ribosomal RNA", at positions 28 to 633 of the family's 1533-position model. The record is from RNAcentral.